GCAUUGGUGGUUCAGCGGUAGAAUUCUUGCCUUCCAUGCAGGAGACGCAAGUUUGAGUCCCAGCCAGCGCA
Molecule: transfer RNA, 71 nt
Filed under: Loxodonta africana (African savanna elephant)
Lineage: Eukaryota; Metazoa; Chordata; Mammalia; Proboscidea; Elephantidae
Rfam family: tRNA
About the family: Transfer RNA (tRNA) molecules are approximately 80 nucleotides in length. Their secondary structure includes four short double-helical elements and three loops (D, anti-codon, and T loops). Further hydrogen bonds mediate the characteristic L-shaped molecular structure. tRNAs have two regions of fundamental functional importance: the anti-codon, which is responsible for specific mRNA codon recognition, and the 3' end, to which the tRNAs corresponding amino acid is attached (by aminoacyl-tRNA synthetases). tRNAs cope with the degeneracy of the genetic code in two manners: having more than one tRNA (with a specific anti-codon) for a particular amino acid; and 'wobble' base-pairing, i.e. permitting non-standard base-pairing at the 3rd anti-codon position.
Source: Rfam by way of RNAcentral